This is a long non-coding RNA of Osmerus eperlanus (European smelt), 3933 nucleotides long. RefSeq lists it as uncharacterized. The record is from RefSeq and is a predicted model, not a curated record. Lineage: Eukaryota; Metazoa; Chordata; Actinopteri; Osmeriformes; Osmeridae. The transcript has 2 exons.
CAGGGGCUGCCCUGCCUCUGCCUGUCCCCAGACCUGGCCCUGACCAGGGGCUGCCCUGCCUCUGCCUGUCCCCAGACCUGGCCCUGACCAGGGGCUGCCCUGCCUCUGCCUGUCCCCAGACCUGGCCCUGACCAGGGGCUGCCCUGCCUCUGCCUGUCCCCAGACCUGGCCCUGACCAGUCUGACAGGAAGAGGGGGAGGGAGGCGGAGGGCUGAUUGGCAGGGCGUCGCUGGUGCGCUGGGGGGCCAGGAGUGAGACCCUUGGGGGUGGGCAGCUUUGAUCCUGGUGGGUUUUAAUUUGAAGGAGAGACGAGCUGGAGGGAAGCCAGACUGUCCCGCCUCCCGCAUGCCUCUGGUCUGCGGGUCAGGGUGGGGGGCUGUGGCCCUGCCACGCCGCAAGGGAUUCUGGGUAAUUAUUUGGGUGUACAGCACUACAGAGUAUGUCAGCGGCCGCGGCGAGCAACGUGACUCUCCAGGGGGGCGGAGGGCGGAGCUGUUUCCUCACCUCACCCCAGCGUCGAGUCACUUUGGUGAAUGUAACUGUGUUUGAGCGUCAAUCAAGUGGAACCUCACACACAAAAGGAGGCAGGAAAAGAAGAAGUAGGCCCCAUAUUGAUCUGCGUUUAUGAAAGAUGUUUUUUUCAUUCUUCGAUUACGUUGCCGUUUUCGGAAUUCCUAUGUAAAUUGAAUCUAAAUGUUCUCCAGAAUGAACAAGAUGGAAUCUUUCCGAUUUGCAACGUUUCCCAGAGUCCCGAUGGUUCUUCUGCUUAUCUCCUCCUCCGUCCUCCUCACAUUGGUAUUUUAAUAUGAACUCAGAAGACGCAGACGACACGUCUCUCUGGAUCUCAUUCGAUGUUAUCUGUUGCUGUUAAGACUUGCCAAAUUAAAAAAAAAAAAAAAAAUCUGUUUUUGUUUUCUGUAAAUACAAUCAAGUUAGCGGUUUUCCGACGCUCCUCCCUAAAUCUGCAGAUAUGACGAACAAUCCGACGCGUUUGAAGAAGAAAAAAAAUGAUGGAUCACUGAAGCCAAAUGUGUACGUUUGUGUGCUGUUUAGUAGUAAUUUCUUUUAAAAUAUUGGUUCACAUACUGCUUAGCAAUCAGUUUUACAUUUAAUUUUGCCACUCAUAAUUUUCUAAUGAAUUACAAGAUUUAUUUUGUACUGUGAUUCUGUAGCUUCUUCUUUGUUUUCUUUGAAGGAAAAACGUGAUAAAUGUGUUUUGAAGAUGACAGAAAUGUAAUAUUAUAGAGCAAUAGUUAGUGAUUAAUUGCUGCCGGCUGGCCCAAGUCACAAAAUGGCCCAGCAGUUCUUAAUGAGUGAUCGGAUAUAUUAUUUUCUAAUAUUUUGAAACGGGCAAAGUAAACAGAAGUAUAUAUUUGUUCAAACUAAUUUAUGGAUCAGAUUCAUGGGUGAUUUUAAUAGUCUGGACGUCUUUCUGUUAUCUCCCGUUAAGGAGAGAUUCUGCACUGCUGGUAGGGGGAGGAGAAAAACAGUCAUGGGCUGAUAUUUUUAUUUUACUGUAUAUGUAGUUAUAUCAGUUAUGAAUUUGCUUGAGAAUGGAAAAGAUGAGUUUUUAUUUAAGGGUGUUGCUUUAUGCAAAUGAAGGAAAAAGAAAACAGACAAAAAAAUAUAUCAGUGGUUACAUUUUUACUGGUCUAUGCUUGCAUUUUGUAAUUCAAGGACUUCUGUUGGGUCUUGGUUAUAAUCCCAUACUUUGUCUCCUGCUUGAUAGUUAUUCUUAAGAUUCCAAAGCUCACAAUAUGUCAUAAUUUUUUGUGUAUGUAAUUCAGGUGGGUUGUCAUAACUUCAUAACAAGGGCUACUACUAGCUAAAUUUGAUAUGGAAUGAAAGUACUUUGUGCGUGACAAAAGGAGCAAAAAGGUGCAAUUCUAGCGAGUGUUGAAUCAGGAAACUGGGGUGUGUUGAGGUUGGGCCGGAAGCUUUAGGCUGGCUCGUCUGGGGUUAGAGAAUAUAGGCGCACAGGUUCGAAGGCCAGUCGGGUGUGCAGGCACGCAUACAUUUUUGGAUGAUUUGAAUUUGUGAGCAGUCCGCUUUGAGACGAGAAAUAUGGAAUCUUUAGACUCCCUUGUUUCCAGAACGGUUUACCUGUGCACUCCCCAACAUUGAUUUCAAAGAACAGGAUCGGUUAGACAUGUCAACACCUGUCGUAUUAAAUCCUUAAGAAUCCAUGCAGAUGCCACCUCUGUGAUGGGGCUGGAAGACUAUUAAUGCAACAUAAGUAGAGGUUAGCUCAUCCAUAUGCCACAGUCCAUCUCUAGUGUCCCAGGUACCCUACCAGCCUGCCAGUCAUCUCAUCCAUGAUGUCCUCGUCCACUUGGUUCUACUUUGCGGUCAGUAACGGUUGUGUUUCCAUCCCCUGGUCAGGAAAGUUUCCAUGGUAGACCACCUCAUGGUCUUAGAUAAAAGACAGGGAGGGCUUGAUUCUUUUUAAUUGUAGUGGAGUUAUUGUAAAAAUAAAACAACAAAAAAACUAAAACAGCUCGAUAUUUACUUUGCAUAUCGUGUGUGGCUGGUGGAUAAAAGGUAAUGCCAAAAGGGAUGGAGACGGGUGUUUGAUGGUCGAUGAUUGCUUGGCUGAAAGACAGACCUGCCAAGGAAGAUGUAUUUGGCCGGUGUCUUUAUGUUCUGUAUAUAGGGCCUGUGGGCUAUGGAGAGCGACUCGUAACAUAAGGUCCCCCCCCCCCCCCCCCCCCCGUAAACACUACAACAUACAACAGUGGCUGUUGAGAGUAUUGUCCACACUCUGGCAUUUACACCAGUACAGCAUUGAUUGUCUACAGGAUGCACUACCGAGGACAGGCCCGUAGAUCUAAGAGCAUGGCCUGUUCCCUCCCAUCUUCCGCAAAGGUCCCUUGCGUUGAAAUGAAGCCUGUUUUUCAAAAAACUUCAGCUUUAUUUAUUCGAUAUAUAUAUUGCUUGCUAACUGAAGGUACUGAGAAAACGUUGAAUGGAUGGACGGUUGAUAAUGGUGUUCUAGAAUGUCCACGGUUGAUAUUGGUGUUCUAGAAUGUCCACGGUUGAUAAUGGUGUUCUAGAAUGUCCACGGUUGAUAAUGGUGUUCUAGAAUGUCCACUGUCCUCUUAACCCUUCUGUCAUUCUGUUCCUGGAUCAAUGCACUGAACCUAACCCUGUGGCAAUGGACAGCCCUGCAUUCAUGCAACUUACAUUUCGAUUCAAGCUACUAUGAGACGUGUAUACACUUUUGAUGGUAAAUGCUUGAGGUCCAUUCUAAUGCAAUGGAUGCAUAGAAAUAUAGAAGCUAUAUUUGCAUCUUUUUUUGUUUGUUUAUUAAAUUUGUUUUUAAGGCUGACAUUACCUGAACACAUGUAUUUAGGACCACUUAUGAUUUAUUUUAAAUAAGAGGUUGAAAUAAACAUUGUGUAGUGAUGUAUACAUUGAAAGUAAUGCAUUUUGUUUUUUGUUUCUUUUUUUAAGUAAACCAAAUGUAAAUUAUGUACAAUAAUGAGUGUGCCAAUCCUCUUUCUUUGUAGAGACUCUUAACAAGUGCCAAUGUUGUGAAAAUCAUAAAAAGGACUUGUGUAUUUCAUGGUCCAAUUUUUAAAACAAAUAAACACUAAGUAUGUGAUUACGAUAUAUAAAUGAAAAAAGGACAAUUUUAUUCUGUAUUUAAAAUUUAUGAACUGCUGUUUUUAAAAAGAUAUGUCAUUUUAAUUGCAUGCGUUUGUUUAGGUGGGGAGGAAGGGUAGGUGGGUGAAAAUUGUAUUAAAGCAAAGCCCUCUUGCAGGGGUCCUAAUGGUAAUUGAUUUACAGUAUUUUAGCCAUAUUUCUCUUUUGUAUGUUUCAUUUCAACCACUGUUGCCUGAACCUCAUUCAAACAUGAAAUGGAUUUCAUAGCCUUCUACUUUGAAUAUAUUUUCUGUUUUAAAUUGGAAUAAAAUUUGUUCCUAUACUGUC